Molecule: RNase MRP RNA, 252 nt
Filed under: Cephalotus follicularis
Lineage: Eukaryota; Viridiplantae; Streptophyta; Magnoliopsida; Oxalidales; Cephalotaceae
Description: RNase MRP
Rfam family: RNase MRP
About the family: RNase MRP is an enzymatically active ribonucleoprotein with two distinct roles in eukaryotes. In mitochondria it plays a direct role in the initiation of mitochondrial DNA replication.
Source: Rfam by way of RNAcentral
CUAACACUGGAUGAUGUGGUUGGGCCGGAUUCAGCCCAGGAAAUUCCCCGGGCCUUUAAAUACAGAGAUGCAUUGGUUGGGAAACCAAGAACUUCGAUAUUGGAAAUCCAUCUCGCACUCUUGCGAGCGGCAGAGACACGUGUGGAGCCGUAUGGAUUUUCAACGAAGUGUUUGGCCGAUGUUAUAACAACAGUUAUUCACAUGUAAUCCAAUUCUGGAUUAAACUGAACGGGGCUUAUGUUCCAGUGUCUA